UACGGAGGGGGCAAGCGUUGUUCGGAAUCACUGGGUGUAAAGGGUGCGUAGGCGGUCCGUUAAGUCUGAUGUGAAAGCCCCGGGCUUAACCUGGGAAUGGCAGUGGAAACUGGAGGACUUGAAUUGAGCAGAGGGGGGUGGAAUGCCGCGUGUAGCAGUGAAAUGCGUAGAGAUGCGGCGGAACACCGGUGGCGAAGGCAGCCCCCUGGGCUUAAAUUGACGCUGAGGCACGAAAGCGUGGGGAGCAAACAGG
Molecule: ribosomal RNA, 253 nt
Filed under: uncultured bacterium
Lineage: Bacteria
Description: partial 16S ribosomal RNA
Rfam family: Bacterial small subunit ribosomal RNA
Source: RNAcentral